This 253-nucleotide ribosomal RNA is filed under the name uncultured bacterium. RNAcentral describes it as "partial 16S ribosomal RNA". It matches the Rfam family "Bacterial small subunit ribosomal RNA", at positions 524 to 776 of the family's 1533-position model. The record is from RNAcentral.
UACGAAGGGGGCGAGCGUUGUUCGGAUUUACUGGGCGUAAAGGGCGCGCAGGCGGUCUUGUAAGUCAGGCGUGAAAGCCCCGGGCUUAACCUGGGAAUUGCGCUUGAUACUCUGAGACUGGAGUACGGGAGAGGAGAGUGGAAUUCCCAGUGUAGAGGUGAAAUUCGUAGAUAUUGGGAAGAACACCAGUGGCGAAGGCGGCUCUCUGGACCGUAACUGACGCUGAGGCGCGAAAGCGUGGGGAGCAAACAGG